GAUGAACGCUGGCGGCGUGCCUAACACAUGCAAGUCGAACGAAGCAUUAGAACUCGAUUUUUUCGGAAUGAAGGUUCUUAUGACUGAGUGGCGGACGGGUGAGUAACGCGUGGGCAACCUGCCUUACACAGGGGGACAACAGCUGGAAACGGCUGCUAAUACCGCAUAAGCGCACGGUCUCGCAUGAGACAGUGUGAAAAACUCCGGUGGUGUAAGAUGGGCCCGCGUCUGAGUAGCUGGUUGGUGGGGUAACGGCCUACCAAGGCGACGAUCAGUAGCCGACCUGAGAGGGUGACCGGCCACAUUGGGACUGAGACACGGCCCAA
RNAcentral lists this ribosomal RNA (326 nucleotides) under uncultured bacterium. Its description in RNAcentral is "bacterial SSU rRNA". It matches the Rfam family "Bacterial small subunit ribosomal RNA", at positions 28 to 334 of the family's 1533-position model. The record is from RNAcentral.